Molecule: ribosomal RNA, 497 nt
Filed under: uncultured bacterium
Lineage: Bacteria
Description: partial 16S ribosomal RNA
Rfam family: Bacterial small subunit ribosomal RNA
Source: RNAcentral
GAUGAACGCUGGCGGCGUGCCUAAUACAUGCAAGUCGAGCGAACGGACGAGAAGCUUGCUUCUCUGAUGUUAGCGGCGGACGGGUGAGUAACACGUGGAUAACCUACCUAUAAGACUGGGAUAACUUCGGGAAACCGGAGCUAAUACCGGAUAAUAUUUUGAACCGCAUGGUUCAAAAGUGAAAGACGGUCUUGCUGUCACUUAUAGAUGGAUCCGCGCUGCAUUAGCUAGUUGGUAAGGUAACGGCUUACCAAGGCAACGAUGCAUAGCCGACCUGAGAGGGUGAUCGGCCACACUGGAACUGAGACACGGUCCAGACUCCUACGGGAGGCAGCUGUAGGGAAUCUUCCGCAAUGGGCGAAAGCCUGACGGAGCAACGCCGCGUGAGUGAUGAAGGUCUUCGGAUCGUAAAACUCUGUUAUUAGGGAAGAACAUACGUGUAAGUAACUGUGCACAUCUUGACGGUACCUAAUCAGAAAGCCACGGCUAACUACGUG